UUAGCCCUUAAAACGGAACCCAAAUGCUAAACUUAGAGAGCGUGAAACGAAUCACACACACAUAUAUAUAUAUAUAUGAUGGAAUACAUUAAUCCAGUGAUUACAUUCAUUUUCAAUGGCAGGUUUGUUUCACACCUACGGACACAAUUGUCUAUUGUCUUAUUUUCACCUUUAUGAAAACAAUGUUUAAACACAAUGGGCGUAAACCUGACCAUAUACUGUACAUUCAAAGAAUUACUGGAACUACAAAUACGGGAGGCAUGAGAGGGCAAAUAGCAAUUCUCUGAUUCAAUCUCCUGUUUCCAUGGCAACUGCAGGAUCCGCUUUGUUUGUGAGGUUCAUAUUAUCCCCGUUGGAGACGGUGGCCGCCUGCUGCUAAGGACACCGAUGCAGCUACGACGAAAUCCGCUACUCACUGAUUUCAGACUGUGCCAAACCUUCAGCAGCAUUAUUCACUCCAACAAUUCUAUUGCUGCAGUAGCACUUGGCUGUAAAGCAACUACAGACUGUCAGCACCAUCACGGCUUCUCAGGAGAUGAGGUCAACAGAAGCAUAAAUAUCUGCCUAUGAAAACUCAACAUAAGAGGUAGUGUUAUAAAGAAUCUAUUUAUCACCAGACUCCCAAAGAGCAUAAAUAGGAUGUUAUUUCAAUGGAACGACUUAUUAAACUGAUAUAUUGCCUUGAUUGUUACAAAAUGAGAAAUUAAAAAAACAAAACACCUAUUAAAUGUGUAAUUCAAGUGUUUCCUAGAGAAAAAAACACCUCCAUGUGGUGCCUUUGGUCUGCGGUGACUGAAAGAGGCAAAACCAUUGCCCGAACAUGUCUAACACAUUUGGUCUGUGUAUUUUGUCCAUACUCAGAUGAUGUAAUCUAACAGAAGAACAUCUGACAUUGACAAGAAUAGAUGUUCACAUGUCAGUUUGAUGACAUUGUUGCAAUUUCACAUUCAUUUAUUAGCUGUUAGCAAGUAACCUAUCUUCCUAAACAAAUGUGUUCAUUUACCUUCAUGCAGAAUGUUUAGGAUGUUUUACACAUGAGGUAAAGGUACAGCAGCCAUUUUAGUUGUGUAGAAUGUACAGGAAGAGGACAAUGUAUGAUGACAAUGACAAUGUUCGGACAGCGUCACAGAGCUAAUAUCUUAAUAAACUGGUUGUUGUCAGGCAAUUAUUCCCUUGAACACAAGACAAAAAAAACAUCUCUGAUCAAUAAUAUCUGUGUUACCUACAUAACUUCUUCAACGGCUGAAUCACGAUGUAAUCUGUUUCACACAAUCUUCAGUCUAUUGUGUAAAAAUAUAAAGAUUUUAAUUUUUCAGUUACUUAUUUACUCGGUGAUCUUAGAUCAUCAGACACCGUCCUUGGAUAUAUUCCCAAUCUCACAAGGGUCAGUGCUAAAAGUACAACGCUAACAGUUUUUACUAACAUUUCUACUCAUUUGGGAUGUGCCUAGUUUCUGUUCUCUAAAGCGUAGCCACUACCAGGACGGGAGCAGUGAGCAUCACAUUCUGUGAUCCUGGGUAUUUGGUUCUGUUGGCACGGUUACCAUGCCUGCAGUGGCAAGGGAUUCCCCUCAAAUGAUGGGCGAGGCAGCAGACACACCCGCUGCCUAGUGCUGCAGAGAGACAAGGCCGGGGCAGUUCUCCUUCCUCUGACUAGGCACAAAUUGAAGGGGUGGAGCCCUGAACCCUUUGGUAUUACUGCUACACCAUGAUGCUGAAGAAGAGAUGCUUACAGUGUACUCUUUGAAAAAAGAAAAGAAUAAAACAAAACCAAAGGCUAACUUGUUGACUUUGGGUCAACAGGCUGAUGUUGGAAAAAUACAUGUCUCUUGUUUGUCUUUGCUGUGUCAUUGCGGAAAACGCAAAAUGUAUUUAAAUCCAUUGAAAUUUACACUCAUAUCAUCACACUUAACUCACUGGACUUUGAAAUAAUAAGAAAAAGGAUCAAUUAUUUCAUAUAAACUCUUCUAAAUCCAAAUCCAUAAUAAUAUUAGGUCUAAUGUUGUACAUAAAGGUAACAAUGGGGGACGCUGCCCUCAUCCUAACUUUCCUACAUUUCCCCCUGUGCGAUGGUUUUGUCCAAAUACUGAGAAUGCAUAGGCCGCCUAUGAAAUGGUGCACUACGGGUGGGCCCUGCACUGCAUCUUGGCAGAUGCUGCGGCACGCCUCUGUGUGUGUGUGGGAAACCUGAUGGAAGAGGUCGAGGACGCAGGGAUGCGGUUGCUGCACAGCAUCGAUUGACACAGGCAGUCUGUCAUGCCUCAGAUCUCGGGCCAGGGAAAAUAAAAAAGCAUUUGCUGCAGUAAAACAUCCACUGAGCUCUCUGAAGAGCAAAUGCUAUGCAGCCACCAUUAAAACCCACCUUUGAGAGGAAAAUUCUUCCUAGUUUGCGAGCUGCCUCUGUGCUAAUCUAUUGUGAUCAACGGCACUACUCAUUGUAAUGCGCCAGCAACGUAGCAAUGAGACGGACAGUGUCUCCAACAGCAGCUAAGGGGAGGGAGGAGAGGAGAGGUAGAGAAACACCCUAAGGUCUUCACAGAUAUCUAGAUGGGAUCAUUUAGUGAGUCUACGCAAAACCUAAUCGUUAACUUUAACCAGCACCAGUAAACGCCUCAUCCAAAGUUUAAUCGAGGCAUGAUUUACAUUCUGUCUGACUAACCAGACAUAAGUUUCUGACCAUUGUGAAAGAUCUACUGAUUUUAAAAUAGUAGCUGUCUAAACCAGAAAAUGUCCCUGAAAGACUAGAAAAUCAAGUGUGUGUGUGUGUGAAGGAGAGAAAGACAGAGAGAGAGGGAGAGAGAGAGUGAGCACUGAGUAGCUAUUCUUUUUGGGACUACCAUUCAUUUCUAUAUACAAACCCAUGUCUUACCCUGGGCCUUAAAAUACCAUGUGUUACUGUUUGGUCCUCAAUUUUAGAAAACUGUAAUUCAAAUAUUGCAUUUAUGCUCAUCACCACCUUGAAAUUGUAUUAAAUCUUAUUAGGGUAAUGUAAUAGUCCUCGAGUACUUAAUACUCAUUUAAAACAGUUAAGGUCACUUAACUAACAGUAACCAACACACAUGGUAUGGGGGAGGAGAGGGGGUCAUUGUUAAAGCUCAGCAUCCUGUAAACCGGAACACGACCAUCACCAUCAUCAUCACCCUGCGAUGUCACUCUCAUCAUCAUGGUCCCACCUAUCGUUCGUCCUCUGCGCAUUUUUCGACGCGACGCCUUUAUCGUCCCUCCAAAACCACACUGGCCCCUAGGUCCAUUCCAACAAUCGUCCUAACGCUGAUUUUGUUGCGUUAUUUCCACCGUGUGUCUCCGCAGCCUGCUCGUUUGUGAAGGAGCCGGGCCAAAGGCACCGCCCCAACAUCUCUGCCCAGCAUAAUCCGCCGCAGCACGGCGACAGUGAAAAGAUCUGAUUUAUCGUGAAGACAUCACGUCGGAUGAACCUUGGUGAAUCCGAGAAAAUGACACUGUGGUGUCGGAAACGCCUGAACACAGGCUUCACACAGGCCUCUUCAUAGAUGAUGCUGACUGAAACCUACAACAGCACUGCUUUCUCACACCCACUGCUGUCUUUAUCACGCGUGUCGUCCAUAAUAACCACUACUUCCAUAUCAUAAAGGGUGGCUUCAUGAUAAAUGUCUUAACGUCAAGACUAGGUUCCUUUUAUAACAUUGGAGUUAUAUCAUUGCCUUAAUUGGGGGUUUACACCUUUUUUUUUUUUUUACAUGAAUAGGUAAUUACAUGUAUUCGAAAUGACAGAAGGCUGAUGAC
Molecule: long non-coding RNA, 3761 nt
Organism: Cynoglossus semilaevis (tongue sole)
Lineage: Eukaryota; Metazoa; Chordata; Actinopteri; Pleuronectiformes; Cynoglossidae
Exons: 3
Source: RefSeq, a predicted model, not a curated record